GUCUUCGUAGCGCAGGGUCGCUCGCUCCCACUCCAUUCAUCCGUCUUCGAAUACUCUGCGAGAGCUGGUGGUUCGACUCCACCCGAGGACA
Mycena latifolia is the source of this 91-nucleotide non-coding RNA. The record is from the annotation of a GenBank genome assembly. Lineage: Eukaryota; Fungi; Basidiomycota; Agaricomycetes; Agaricales; Mycenaceae.